This 432-nucleotide ribosomal RNA is filed under the name uncultured bacterium. RNAcentral's name for it is "partial 16S ribosomal RNA". It matches the Rfam family "Bacterial small subunit ribosomal RNA", at positions 29 to 506 of the family's 1533-position model. The record is from RNAcentral.
AACGAACGCUGGCGGCAUGCCUAACACAUGCAAGUCGAACGAGACCUUCGGGUCUAGUGGCGCACGGGUGCGUAACGCGUGGGAACCUGCCCUUAGGUUCGGAAUAACUCCCCGAAAGGGGUGCUAAUACCGGAUAAUGUCUUCGGACCAAAGAUUUAUCGCCUUUGGAUGGGCCCGCGUUGGAUUAGCUAGUUGGUAGGGUAAAAGCCUACCAAGGCGACGAUCCAUAGCUGGUCUGAGAGGAUGAUCAGCCACACUGGGACUGAGACACGGCCCAGACUCCUACGGGAGGCAGCAGUGGGGAAUAUUGGACAAUGGGCGAAAGCCUGAUCCAGCAAUGCCGCGUGAGUGAUGAAGGCCUUAGGGUUGUAAAGCUCUUUUACCCGGGAUGAUAUUGACAGUACCGGGAGAAUAAGCUCCGGCUAACUCCGU